RNAcentral lists this transfer RNA (74 nucleotides) under Polysiphonia sp. RNAcentral's name for it is "tRNA-Met". It matches the Rfam family "tRNA". From Rfam's summary of the family: Transfer RNA (tRNA) molecules are approximately 80 nucleotides in length. The record is from RNAcentral. Lineage: Eukaryota; Rhodophyta; Florideophyceae; Ceramiales; Rhodomelaceae.
AACGAGAUAGUUCAAUAAGGUAGAACAGUAGAAUCAUAAUCUAAAUGUUAUAGGUUCGAAUCCUAUUCUCGUUA